This 795-nucleotide ribosomal RNA is filed under the name uncultured Bacillota bacterium. Its description in RNAcentral is "bacterial SSU rRNA". It matches the Rfam family "Bacterial small subunit ribosomal RNA", at positions 1 to 799 of the family's 1533-position model. The record is from RNAcentral. Lineage: Bacteria; Bacillati; Bacillota.
AGGAGAGUUUGAUCCUGGCUCAGGAUGAACGCUGGCGGCGUGCCUAAUACAUGCAAGUCGAGCGAGAAUCAUUUGAACUGAGAUUCGUCAAAGCGAGAAUGAGGAAAGCGGCGGACGGGUGAGUAACGCGUAGGCAACCUGCCCUUAGCAGAGGGAUAGCCAUUGGAAACGAUGAUUAAAACCUCAUAAUGCUGGAGAGUCACAUGUCUUUUCAGCCAAAGAUUUAUCGGCUAAGGAUGGGCCUGCGUCUGAUUAACUAGUUGGUGAGGUAACGGCCCACCAAGGUGACGAUCAGUAGCCGACCUGAGAGGGUGAUCGGCCACAUUGGAACUGAGACACGGUCCAAACUUCUACGGAAGGCAGCAGUAAGGAAUCUUGCACAAUGGGGGAAACCCUGAUGCAGCAACGCCGCGUGAACGAUGAAGGCCUUAGGGUUGUAAAGUUCUGAUCUGUGGGAAGAAGAAAGUGACGGUACCACAGGAGAAAGCCCCGGCUAAAUACGUGCCAGCAGCCGCGGUAAUACGUAUGGGGCAAGCGUUAUCCGGAAUUAUUGGGCGUAAAGAGUGCGUAGGUGGUUACCUAAGCGCAAGGUUUAAUCUUGAGGCUCAACCUCAUUCUGCCUUGCGAACUGGGCUACUUGAGUGCUGGAGGGGAAAGCGGAAUUCCCAGUGUAGCGGUGAAAUGCGUAGAUAUUGGGAAGAACACCGGUGGCGAAGGCGGCUUUCUGGACAGUAACUGACACUGAGGCACGAAAGCGUGGGGAGCAAACAGGAUUAGAUACCCUGGUAGUCCCCU